Non-coding RNA from Schistosoma rodhaini, 78 nucleotides. The record is from Rfam. Lineage: Eukaryota; Metazoa; Platyhelminthes; Trematoda; Strigeidida; Schistosomatidae.
AGCAUUUCGAUUCCUUGCGGAGAUUUCGUCAGACACCAACCCAUUAGGGCUUAUCAGACUUCCAAGAUAAGUAAAGUU